GGAUGUAUGACUAAGAAUGGUAACUGACAAACUGACAGUUGUAAGCGAAUAGAGGUUAGCUAUACUUUGUGACAGGGGCUAAAAAGCUGUUUUGACAGCUUCUACACAAUGAGAAUGUUUUUUUCCGUUAUACUUAAUCUGUUAAUCUAGAAAUUUAAUGUAAUUUUGACGAUUCAUAUAUAAAACACAAUUAUUUUAAUAGGACCAAUCUUAGGACCAAUCUAGUUUCUCUUAUCCUAUGACUUUGGUUUAACGGUUGGCAGUAAAAUGUCAUCAACAUGUAAAUGGAAACUUUUGUGGCGUAUCUUUCUAAAUUUGUGGUUUUAUCUUUUUUUUUUUUUUUUAUACAAACAACUCAUCUUAUUAUAAUCUCAUUAUCAUAGGAUCAUUACAGGUUGUCAUACCAAAACAUACUGGAAAAAGAUGCUAUAUCAUAUCUAUGACCAUAAUAAAUGGACGUGAGAUUUAUUUUUGAUGUAAUGAUCUAAAAAUGCAUAGUGUAGACAAGCAGUUUGUGGGUUAUUCAAAGCUUGACUAUUUUGGGGUUUGGGGUGAGGAGCACACACACAUUCACACACUUCUUUGGCAGCUGACUAUGACCUCUUCUGCCCCACAGUCUAACAGAUUCAACCACACACACACCCUGGCACACACAUUCAAGUGUUUUUUGCUCCAGUUGCCUUCUUUAAUGACUUCAACAUGGGCCUGCCAGUAUUUUUUAUUUUAGCAAUGGUUCUGAAUUUUGCUCACAGCAGGGACAUGCAAGAUUCAGAGACCAGAGACUUGGAUCUUGACCAAACAGUGACUGGGAUUUUGGGGGCGGAUGUCUACUUGCAUUGUCUGUACACUGGACAAAGUAGCAUAUUGUUCUCCUCCUGGAACCGUAUCGAUUCUUCAAACAAGGCAAAGAAAAUGGCAGGCUACAAAUCCAGUGCCAAAUCUUUCGCAAGAGAAAACUUUGACAUCCCAGCAUCAAUUACAAACCUUACUGUAAAGGUGAACGUAACAAGUUUUGAUCAAGAGGGAGAAUACACAUGUGUCUUUGACUCUGAUGAGGAUGAAACAAAGGAAACCAUGUUUCUUAGUGUUAUUGUGCCAAGCCUGAGGCUGUGAUUAGAUGGGAGAUCUCUGGUGCCCUUCCAAAAGACGACAUCUUCUCUGUGAACAUGAUUAAUCCGGUUCAUCCCAAUGGCACAACCAGUUCAAUCAGUGUACUUCGCUUCCCCCUAAUUAUGAAUAAUGAGAGCACUGUUACCUGUGUGGUUGAGCAUCCAGCUUUUACUGAACCCAAAAGAGCCAACAUAGAGGUGGACACAUUUGGUAAGUCCUGUUCUGUAGCGUUAUUAGGAAAAGCCAGGGAGUGUAAGAC
This 1369-nucleotide long non-coding RNA is filed under the name Sinocyclocheilus anshuiensis. RNAcentral describes it as "lncRNA (ENSSANG00000030186.1)". The record is from RNAcentral. Lineage: Eukaryota; Metazoa; Chordata; Actinopteri; Cypriniformes; Cyprinidae.